UACGUAGGGUGCAAGCGUUGUCCGGAAUUAUUGGGCGUAAAGAGCUCGUAGGCGGCUUGUCGCGUCGGCUGUGAAAACCCGUGGCUCAACCACGGGCCUGCAUCCGAUACUGGCGGGCUCGAGGCAGGCAGGGGAGAUCGGAAUUCCUGGUGUAGCGGUGAAAUGCGCAGAUAUCAGGAGGAACACCGGUGGCGAAGGCGGAUCUCUGGGCCUGUCCUGACGCUCAGGCGCGAAAGCUAGGGGAGCAAACAGG
RNAcentral lists this ribosomal RNA (253 nucleotides) under uncultured bacterium. RNAcentral describes it as "partial 16S ribosomal RNA". It matches the Rfam family "Bacterial small subunit ribosomal RNA", at positions 524 to 776 of the family's 1533-position model. The record is from RNAcentral.